Long non-coding RNA from Carassius carassius (crucian carp), 340 nucleotides. RefSeq lists it as uncharacterized. The record is from RefSeq and is a predicted model, not a curated record. The transcript is spliced from 3 exons. Lineage: Eukaryota; Metazoa; Chordata; Actinopteri; Cypriniformes; Cyprinidae.
GUCAUCCUUAUCACUUGAGCUCUGACUGACAGACAGACAGACAGUGAGAGAGACAGAUUACCAAAAAGAGAAAGAAAACAGUGUGGAUUCAAGAACUAAGAGAACGAAUAAAAGAAGAACAAGGAAGGACUAAGAAGAGUGGAAGGGAGCUGUAAAGUAGAGGUGGUGUGCACUGACACGGAUCAAUUGCUCUUCUCCACUUUUAGUUUGGAAGUGUAGUGCGUCUGUCUGUCCAUAUAUCAUCUUGGUUAAUCAGUGGUCUUGAGAUAAAGUAAAAAUUUAACAGCUUCAAAAUCAUUCUGUCAGUAAAAACCUUUAAAGAAAGAAAAAAAAACAAGUU